AGCCCAUCAACUAGCUCAACUUAUAAAAACAACAUAACAUCAUUAAUUAACCCCACAGACAUUACACGACAAGUUAACUAAAACAUUUUUUGCUCUUAGUCCGGGAGACCAAAAAGAGCUAUUAACGAAGCUACAGAAAAAGUACCGCAAGGGAAAGCUGAAAGAGAUAUGAAAAAGCCCAGUAAAGCCCGAAAAAGCAGAGACACCCCCUCGUACCUUUUGCAUCAUGAUUUAGCUAGUAUUCCCAAGCAAAGAGUCCUUUAGUUUGGAGCCCCGAAACCGAGGGAGCUACUUCAAGACAGCCUAAAAAUAGGGCUAACCCUUCCCUGUGGCAAAAGGGUGGGAUGAGCUUUAAGUAGAGGUGAUAAACCUAACGAACUCAGUUAUAGCUGGUUGCCUGAAAAUUGGAUAUAAGUUCAGCCUCCCGGCUCCUCCCCUCCUUAGUAUCUAUAAUAUACAGGCCCAAAGGAACCAAGAGAGUUAUUCGAAAGAGGUACAGCUCUUUUGAAAAAAGAUACAACUUUAUCAGGAGGUUAAAGAUCAUAUUUUGUAAAGUUAUACUUCUGAGUAGGCUUAGAAGCAGCCAUCUCCUUAGAUAGCGUUAAAGCUCAAACAAAUAAUUUACUUGCAAUCUCUAUAAACAGAUCUAACACCCCUAGUAUUAUCAGGCCUCCCUAUAUUUUCUUAUAGGAGAGACCAUGCUAAUAUGAGUAAUAAGAGAACCAGACGUUUCUCUCCUGACACAAGUGUAAGUCGGAACGGACCACCCGCCGAAAAUUAAACGGACCCAACCCAAGAGGGAAGUGGAUUUUACUCAAAAAUGCAAGAAAGCCCCCCAUGAGACACCCGUUAACCUCACACUAGAGUGCCCCCGGAAAGACUAAAAGGAGAGGAAGGAACUCGGCAAAUUCUACCCGCAAGCUUCGCCUGUUUACCAAAAACAUCGCCUCUUGUCCCCAAAAAAUAAGAGGUCCUGCCUGCCCAGUGACCAAAAGUUUAACGGCCGCGGUAUUCUGACCGUGCAAAGGUAGCGUAAUCACUUGUCCUUUAAAUGAAGACCUGUAUGAAUGGCGUCACGAAAGCUUAACUGUCUCCCUCCCCCAGUCAAUGAAAUUGAUCUCCCCGUGCAGAAGCGGGGAUAAGCACAUAAGACGAGAAGACCCUGUGGAGCUUCAGACACUAAGACCAGCCCAUAUAAAUACUUAACUAUAAAUUAGUGUAUAAAUUGUAUAGCCCCUGGACGGAUGUCUUCGGUUGGGGCGACCAUGGGGUAAUAAAAAACCCCCAAGAGGACAGAAGCACUACCCAUGUAACACAGCUUCCGUAAAAAAGGUUGACAAACCUAAUUCACAGAACCUCUGACCCAAUCAGAUCCGAUGCAAAUCGAUCAACGAACCAAGUUACCCCAGGGAUAACAGCGCAAUCCUCUUCAAGAGCCCAUAUCGACAAGGGGGUUUACGACCUCGAUGUUGGAUCAGGACAUCCUAAUGGUGCAGCCGCUAUUAAGGGUUCGUUUGUUCAACGAUUAAAGUCCUACGUGAUCUGAGUUCAGACCGGAGCAAUCCAGGUCAGUUUCUAUCUAUGAUACAGCCUCUUUUCUAGUACGAAAGGACCGAAAAGAGAAGGCCAAUGCUUAAAGCACGCCUAAUCUUAAUACUAUUGAAAUAACUCAAAUAGUCAUAGAAACUUUAUUUUAGCUAUAAAUAAUAGCAU
RNAcentral lists this ribosomal RNA (1713 nucleotides) under Samariscus latus (deep-body righteye flounder). Its description in RNAcentral is "16S ribosomal RNA". It matches the Rfam family "Bacterial large subunit ribosomal RNA". Lineage: Eukaryota; Metazoa; Chordata; Actinopteri; Pleuronectiformes; Samaridae. The record is from RNAcentral.